AUACAAAUAAAGCAGCUCAUCUUUAUAGGAGUAGUUCUUUCUGUAGCCUUUUCUCUAACAACCGGAACAUUAUAAUUUUUCUCCUCAAGCACUGUCAGUGAAUAUACAUCCUU
This is a long non-coding RNA of Dipodomys spectabilis (banner-tailed kangaroo rat), 113 nucleotides long. RefSeq lists it as uncharacterized. Lineage: Eukaryota; Metazoa; Chordata; Mammalia; Rodentia; Heteromyidae. The record is from RefSeq and is a predicted model, not a curated record. The transcript is spliced from 3 exons.